This 1024-nucleotide long non-coding RNA is filed under the name Dromaius novaehollandiae (emu). RNAcentral's name for it is "lncRNA (ENSDNVG00000013722.1)". Lineage: Eukaryota; Metazoa; Chordata; Aves; Casuariiformes; Dromaiidae. The record is from RNAcentral.
GCUGAAAUGAAAGGCCCGUUGGCAGGGCUGGUUUAAACAGGGGGACCGAGGCAUCCCCCGGCCUCCUCCGCAAAUAAAUCACAGUUCAAAGGAGCUCGCGUCCCAGCAGCUGGGAUAUUGGAGCCGCGCGGCGGAGGGCGGCGUGUGUUUCCAACCCAUCCGUCACCGCUCCGGAGAAUCGAAAGGCACUGGAAAAGGCCAUCAAAGCAGGUCUUGCUCAGGAAUCACCCGGCGGCGAUGGCCACGACCCGGCGAAGGUCUCCGAGCGAAACCUGGUAGGCGGCAAAGUCCGUCCCGUCCUUGGCACAGCCACGGUCCACGCGCUGGCGGAUGCUCGGGGGCAAGAGGUGCCGGCCCCGCGCCCGCCCAGCCCCUGCCUGCUGGCUUUCUUCUGUGGCCUGCUUGGCGAUUCCAGGGUUUCCAAUACAUGAGGCCAAUGGCCUGCAGAARAAAAAUGAUCUCAGGACUUUGCAUUGAGCUGAAUGAAGCGAGCCUCAUCAGAAGGAGACCUAAUUCUGGAUACCCUCAGGAUGAAUAUUUUAGCCGAGGUUAAGAAAGGGCAGUCUCUGCCUCCAGAGCUCCUGGCAGAAGCAAUCACUCUCGCUUAUUCUCAGGGAGAAAAGCAAAGGUGGAUCACGGCAGUAACCACGGGGCGGCCAGAAAGGGCCGUCACAGGCGCGGAGCCGGGCAGACCCAGGCAGCCCGGGUUGAAAGGACAGCUACGGGGACAACCUUCAACCCGCCGUAUGGCCCAGACCCCUCUGCCGCUGCCUCCUGCAAAGCAUGGGAGAAAGGGGCUGUGGUCUCCUAAGCGUCCUCCCCGGCUCCCCGCUUCGGCUAUUCUSCUUGAGCUAUAGGAUCGCGUCUGUACAGCGCUGUAAACACCUACGGGUGAUGUGCCAGGUAAYGCAGACUAGUGCGUUAAGUUCAGAGGAUCCACUUUAUUUUGCAAGCGCUCGGAGUCAGCAGCACUCAACAUUUCAUUAAGCUGUCGUGGAGUAAUAAAAAGCAAACAAGGCUUUCA